Molecule: ribosomal RNA, 485 nt
Filed under: uncultured bacterium
Lineage: Bacteria
Description: bacterial SSU rRNA
Rfam family: Bacterial small subunit ribosomal RNA
Source: RNAcentral
ACAUGCUGGUAGUAGGGAAGCGAAAGCGGACCGACCUUUCGGGGAGCCAGCACAGGUGCUGCAUGGCUGUCGUCAGCUCGUGUCGUGAGAUGUUGGGUUAAGUCCCGCAACGAGCGCAACCCUCGUGGCUAGUUACAAGUGUCUAGCCAGACUGCCGGUUUCAAACCGGAGGAAGGUGGGGAUGACGUCAAGUCAGCAUGGUCUUUAUGUCCAGGGCUACACACACGCUACAAUGGUCGGUACAAUGGGUUGCCACACCGCGAGGUGCAGCUAAUCCUCAAAGCCGGUCUCAGUUCAGAUUGCAGUCUGCAACUCGACUGCAUGAAGGCGGAGUUGCUAGUAACCGCGCGUCAGCCAUAGUGCGGUGAAUGCGUUCCCGGGCCUUGUACACACCGCCCGUCACAUCAUGGGAGUCGGCAACACCUGAAGUCGGUGACCUAACCGCAAGGGAGGAACUGCCUAAGGUGGGGUCGGUGACUGGGAUG